This 734-nucleotide ribosomal RNA is filed under the name uncultured euryarchaeote. RNAcentral's name for it is "bacterial SSU rRNA". It matches the Rfam family "Archaeal small subunit ribosomal RNA", at positions 129 to 865 of the family's 1478-position model. Lineage: Archaea; Methanobacteriati; Methanobacteriota. The record is from RNAcentral.
ACCUCGGGAAACUGAGAACAAUACUCCAUAGGUCUAGGAGGCUGGAAUGCGCCUAGGCUAAAAACUCCGGUGCCAUAGGAUGAGUCUGCGGACUAUCAGGUUGUAGUCAGGGUAAAGACCUGACUAGCCUACGACGGAUACGGGUUGUGAGAGCAAUAACCCGGAGAUGAUAUCUGAGACACGAUAUCAGGCCCUACGGGGCGCAGCAGGCGCGAAAACUUCACACUGCGCGAAAGCGCGAUGAGGGAAUCCCAAGUGUAUGCACGUAAGUGUAUACUGUUUCUAUGUCUAAAAAGCAUAGAGAGUAAGGGCUGGGUAAGACGGGUGCCAGCCGCCGCGGUAAUACCUGCAGCUCAAGUGGUGGCCGCUAUUAUUGGGCCUAAAACGUCCGUAGCCGGUCUUAUAAAUGCCUGGGUAAAUCGUACGGCUUAACCGUACGAAUUCUUGGUAGACUGUAAGACUUGAGACCGGGAGAGGUUAGAGGUACUCCUGGGGUAGAGGUGAAAUUCUGUAAUCCUAGGGGGACCACCAGUGGCGAAGGCGUCUAACUAGAACGGGUCUGACGGUGAGGGACGAAGCCCUGGGGCGCAAACCGGAUUAGAUACCCGGGUAGUCCAGGGUGUAAACGCUGCUUGCUUGAUGUUAGUCGGGCUCCGAGCCCGAUUAGUGUCGGAGUGAAGAUGUUAAGCAAGCUGCCUGGGAAGUACGGUCGCAAGAUUGAAACUUAAAGGAAU